RNAcentral lists this long non-coding RNA (22180 nucleotides) under Populus tremula. Its description in RNAcentral is "long non-coding RNA (PTRE_LNC002772)". Lineage: Eukaryota; Viridiplantae; Streptophyta; Magnoliopsida; Malpighiales; Salicaceae. The record is from RNAcentral.
GGAAGUUGAAGUCCGGGAGGCGGGCGCGGAGAGCUGUGUUAAGGCCUGGUGCUUCAUUUAGCUGGAACUCCUUUGAAGUUGAGGUAUACACUCGCCAGCCCUUUCUCCUCAGGAAAUCUGGAGGAAACCCAUCUGAAGCUACGGAUUUAGCAGCAAAAUCUCCCCGUUUACGGUGUUGAAUCUCAAAUUGCUGAUAAAUGUUUCUUGGGUCCAAAGGUUGCGGUUUUAAAUCAGAUAUACGGGUGCAGAAACAGCAUGUUUUCAUAUCCUCUUCCUUGGAGUUUAUGUAAGCUUCCCUGAAAGCCAAUAUGAGUGUGGAUUUAUUAAGAAUUGGCUAAUUAAAACGAGCGAGAAAAAAAAAAGGAAAUGUUUGCGCCCAUUUUCUUAAUCCAGAAACGCAGCGGUGAUUCAUAUGUUAGGUUCCCAGCUGACGCAAUCUUUCCAUGUUGUUUGAGAUCUUGAAUUGAUUUCAAAGAUAUAGAGGAUAUGGGAAAAAAAAAAAGCAAAAGAAAAACAAAACAAGGUGAAGUUGGAGGUAGAGCACACACAUACCCUUUAUGCUUCCCUUUUCUCUCAACCACGUAGUAUUGAUUGGAAGAUAAUGGCUGAUUGAGAACAGGAGUGAAAAGAACACGGUUCGUAUGAACGUGUUGAUUCUCCCCAGUUUGCUGCGUAUACGUAACCAUCAAGUUCUUGUUUUGAGGAAAAGGCAGGCCCCAGCUUACUCGAUCACUCUUGAACAAUCCACAACAGAAGGUAGGCACUGCAACUUCUUCAUCCUGGAUUACCAAUACACCAGAAUUUGGACCCUCGGGAGGCGGUGAUGAAAGAGCUGAAGGAUCUCUUAGAUACAUCGAAAGAGGCCUUGUCACAUACAUUUCCUCUCAAACUUUUCUCUGCGUAUAGUGACCAAGCAAAAAUUCUUUAUCUUAUCCUUAAUUUCAAAUGUUGUUUUAGGAGUCAAAUCAUAAUUUGUCAAACUAUGGAGAAUUAAAAUGUAAUUUUUAUAUAUCAGGACCAAACUGAAAUUUUAUAAUUUUCAACCGUGAAACUACUUUAUCUAGAAUUUCUAGCAAAGAUUGUUCCAAAUUUCUUAGCCAUUCUUGCCCAUGACACAUCAAAGAAACAAAUCAACCUCAUGUUAUUAUCCCUAACAAAAUCAUUCAAAAUCAAUUAAUUUCAACAUUAACCCAUAUUAAUCAUCAAUUAUUGAAACUUAAAAACAUAAAUUUCAAAUAUUUAGAAACAUUAACACGUUAAAAAAAAAAAUGUAAUGAGCAACAAAAACAAAAAUCAUGUAUAUCAAAUUACGAUCUCAACACAAAAACGUAAUUUAUCCAUCACUCAUGAUCCUUUUUUUCUUUUCCUUCCUCCUCUUUUUCUUUUGGUUUUCUCCGUUUCUGGUUUCUUCUUCUUUUUUCUUUUUUUAUCUCUCUCUAUAUAUCAAUCUAUGUGAAACGACUGACGUGUCCCCAACCAUUACCAACCACAUAAGGUUGUUCAAAUCGCGAUUUUAACACGGCACGGAAAAUACAAAACAAACUCGGAUCGUAAAAACAGAUCGUAAAAUCGUAAGGAAUUUUAAAAUAUAUUAACAAAAAAUUCAUGAUUCAAAUAAAAAUUCAUACAUAUACUAUACAAUUAAUUUUUUCGUAAAAUCAUUCUAUCAUUCCAUUAAUAAAAUCAAUUUCAUCAUUCCAUCAUAUACUAAAAUAGCAUCUUAAAACCAUUCCAUCAUUCCACAAUGCCAUACAGACACAACUAAUUCAAUCCAAUCCAAUCCAAUAGUCCACAGUAUACUGUUCCAUCAAUUCCAUUUAAUUCAUUCCAUCAAUUCAAGGGACAGAAAAACAUUAUAAAUGGACAAAUUACAGGACCGGCAAAAUCAUUCCAUCAAAAAUGUAUAAACGCCUGAAGCAGAAAAAUUAUUUGAUUAACAAUUGUAGCUAUGAAUUCCAGCAAGGUUCAUACAACAUCUACUCUCCAUUAUGCUAAACUUCUCAAGAAAAGAAAAUUAUGACUAUAUAUGAAGGGUUAGCACUACAACUCAAAGAAUCUUGUAGAUAAAAGAAGAUGGAAAGCCUAAAGAAUGAACGAGCAGUACAAAUAAAAAAGUAUAUUAGUACUUGAUAUCAGGAUUUUAGACUAAUAAUUUGUCAUGAUCUACAUAAGUUUGCAGUAACAGUUUCUUCUAGGGAGAAGAAUCUGAUAGCCUGUCACAAAGACAUUUGCAAUGUAUCAUCAAGCAUUCCCCAGUUCUUUUGUCGUCACAGAUUCUUCACAACUUGUCACUGCAUCACUUUUCAUCAAACCGACAGUCCACGUAUCAAAAUUUUGAAUACAUCCUAGGAAACAAAAUUCAUCCCAGAGUUAAGGUCAAUACAAUAGCUAGGCAAAAUGGAACACGUUACAAUCUAACUUUGAUUUUGAUCCAAAUUUUCAUGGAAGUGAACAAAGUGGAAAAUUAAAGAUAAAUGGUUGUACCUUGAUUGCAUUAGUGCUCUCUAGUUCAGUGAUUUUACCAUCUUCUUCAUGAUUUUCAUGUAGUGGCUCUUCGUUUGCAGGCAUUAUAAUUUAUUUUUAUUUUUUUGAUUUACGUGGGUAUCCGGGCCAGCUUGCGCGCACCACGACUAAUUUCACGGCUCGCUGAACAUCCUGCAAACCCAGUGAGCAUGUAAGGCACUGCGGGAGUGACAGGCGUACACGCUGAGGCUUGAACCCAGGAUGCAGAGGUAAGGAAACUCCUUGCCACCGCUGGGCUACAAGCCUCGGUGUCAGGCAUUAUAAUUUCAUUCCACCACUGGUUGAUCUUCGUCAUGUUGUUCCUCAUUUUCUUCAGCCACUAUUAUUAAACACCAAUUCCAAAAUUUUCAUUAUAAUUAGACCCAAUUAUCUUAAAGAACAAUUAAAAUUACACUACAAGAUUUAACAGUUUUACCGAUGAAAUUUUUCCGUCGGCGUAAUUAAGACACAUAUUCCAUCGGUAAUUAAUUUACCGACGAAAUCACCGACGAAAAUUCUCCGUCGGUGAAUUUUUGUCCGUCGGUAAAUCCGUUGGUAAUAAAAAAAAUAUUAUUACCGAUGGAUUUACUGGCGGAAUAGACGCGUCAGUAAAAAUAUUUUUUUAUUACCGACGGAAAGUUCCGUCGGUAUUAUUUAAAAACAUUUUAAAAAAAAUUCAUUUUAUAAAAUUAUAAAAUAAUUAAAUUAACAUAAAUCAACAUUGCAUAAUAUAUACUCAAAAUGCUUGGGAAAAAAAAAGAAUAAGAAAAUCAACUCAAACAAAUUUGCAACAAAUAAAUAAAACAAAAGAAUUAGUUCAACUAAAAAAAAUCAUAUGAAAAAAAUGAAGUUCCAAUUGCUAAAAAUUUAAAAAUCCUAUAAAUAAAUCAACUAAAAAUUGAUCUCAUAUGAAAAAAAAAAUUCACAACAACAUCUAUACAAUUAUGAAGAACAAAAUCAAUUAAAAAUAAAAUAAAAAAACAAAUAUAGUGAAAACAAUCAUGAAAAAAUAAGAAAAAAGAAAAAUAUUACCUUAAUGUACUUGCAAGUGAAGCUAAGGAAUUUUUUUUUGUAAAGCAUAUUAAUUAAAAAAGAAACUAAGAGGAUAAAAGAAGAAAGAAGAAGAAGACAUACCCGAGCAUGGAGGAAAAGAGAAGGAGAUGAGGAGAGAAAAGAAGAAAAAAAAUAAAUAUUGAUGUUUUUUACAUAUAGUGAAGAAGAAGAAGUAGAAGAAGAAGAAGAAGAAAUAAUGAGUCUGUCUCUUGUGAAAUAAGCGGAGUCAGGUUUUUUAUUGGGGCGCGUUACCGACGGAUUUACCGAAGAAUAAUUGAAUAUUAAUAUUUUUUAAUUAUUCCAUCUGUAAUUUCGUAAAAAGUUUUCAGAAACCGUCAAAAAUUACUGACGAUUUUUCAAUCCGUCGGUGAUUCCGUCUGUAAUAUUUAAAUGAAAAUUUUAAAUCAAUUGAAUUUUUUCAGAAAACCGUCAAAUAACACCCACGUAUUUUCAAUCCGUCGGUGAUUUUGUCCGUAAAGAACAACACUUAACAGUGCAAUUGGAAGGUGAACAGUUCUGGAGCUCUCUGGAAAAUACCGACAGCAAAUUCCGUCGAUAAUUCCCUUUGUAAUUGACAUGAUGAACAAUAUUCACAGUUUACCAACGGAUUUACCAAAUUACCGACGGAAAAAAUUUCGUCGUGUCGGUAAUUCUGUUGGUAAAAAAUGACACGUUAUCAUUUUUUUUGCUUUGUUUUAAUUUUUUUUCCCACGGUAAUUCCCUCGGUAUUUCCAUUUGUAUUUAUUGAUUUUCUGGUAGUGUUAACCCAAGAAUCCAAAAAAGUAAAAAAAAAUUAAUAAUAAUAAUAAUAAAAAAAACCACAUAUCUGCUUCUCUAUAAGUAUUUUAGAAAACCAUUUUAAUACUUCGGUGUGAGCUUUACAACCAUCAAGCCUUAGACUGUUGAAGCAGUAAAUGGAGGGACAAUGAUUUGUUCUUCUCCACGUAAGGAUUUCAGGUCGACGAUGCAGGGAGUAAAAACCAGAGGCGAAAAAGAAAAAACAAAGCUUGGGAAUAAAUUCUUACCUUAUUCUCGAUAGCAAGCAAAACAAGAGGCACUGAGAGAGUGGAGAGUGAAAAGUGGAGAUUGGGGAUAAUUAGAUUCAGAAUUUCAAAUCUUAAAUAUUUAGCAGACAAUUAGUAAAAAUGGAGAGUAAAGAGUACUGCGAACAGGGAAAGGGAGGGGGUGGGGAAGGGAAAGGGGAAACUGGGGAAGGGGAAAGGGCAACGGGAAAGGGUGGAGGCGCUGCAACUGUUUUAUAUUUCACGUGAAAUCGUGAAAUCGGUUCGUGUUUAAUGUUUUUUCCGAGUUAGACUGAUUUUAUACAAGUUUGACCGGGUUUGACCGAUUUUACUGGUUUUCAAGUUUUAAAUCCGAUUUUGCACGUUUUAUAUGUUUUGACUCGUAAAAUGGUAUGAUUUUACGAGUUAAAACGUGAUUUUGAUAAUCUUGCAACCACAGCCAUGCACAUAAGGGCAAUACCGUCUGUUUAUCCAAACUUACAUAAGCAUGCAUGAUUAAUAAGAAACUGGUCCCUAGUUAACUUCCAUAAAUGAUGAAGCUUUUCAGACACGAAGAUUCGUGAGAUUUUCAUAAACAUUUGAAGACAUGAUGGAGCUCGUUAAUUUCUGGAUAUCAAGUAGCUCAAAAAUUCUGUUCGGGGAGUUGAAACAAAACGGCAAUCUUCCAUGCAAGUCAGAAAAGGUAUAGCGGUUAACAAAAAAACUGAUGCUUAUAGCUACAUGAACCAAUCAAAACUUUUAAGGAGCAUAAAAGACUGUUCAAUCAUUCUCAGAUUGGCCUCAUAUUCCGACAUCUAUCAUGCAUGUAUAAUGUAUCGAGAGAGACCGAAGAGUUAGUAUUGUCAAUUAAAACCUAUUAUGAGGUUUGAUGCAAGCUUUGUGUCUGUCAAGAGCUUACAUUCAGCAGAACUAGACAUGCUAUUUGUGAAAGAUUGAACCUGCAGAGUUAGCUGUUGGAUAGUUUCCUUUCACUGUUUGAUUUAUUAUUUUUUUGUAAGGUCCUUUGGCCUUCAAUUUUUGGAUGUUGCAGAUAAUUUUGUUUUCACAUCAGUCCAAUCACUGAAAAUUGAUUCAUUCCUUGAAAUGAUAAUUCUCAAUUCUCUAUAAAGGAUCUAGUCCAUUUCCUCUUCCUUCCUUCCCUUUUCCUUGCCGAAAUCAUGUUUUUGUUAUUAGGCAUGGGAUGUUUCUUAAAGCAUUAUUUAUCCCAUUGUCUCAAUCUUCUCGUGUAUAUAUAGAGAGAUAAGGAAGAUAUCAAUCUGAAAAGUCAAUAGCACAGACAAUUUAGACAAGUAAUAAGAAUCCUACAAGAGGAAAAGUAGAUCAAAAGGUUCUGCAAUGUUGAUACUUGGUCAAACCGGUUGAUUUGUUAUAUUUAGUUUUAAAAAUGUACAAUAUUUGUCGCCAACAGUGCAGCUUUGGAUUUUGGAAUAUUGAUUCUUCCAGCCAAAAAUACUAGGUUAUCUUAUUAGCUUAAUCGUUAUCUUAUUAGUGGGGGCAGAGGAAGAAUAUUUAUGAUCAUCCGUGCCCAAUCGUUAUCUUAUUAGCUUUGAAAUCCGUGUCAUUGUGCAAUUUUAAUCAAUUUAUUAGCUCAACCUAUAAUUUCAAAAUAGUUUAUUCACUGCAAUCGCUUGAAUUUAUAAAAAAAAAAAAAAAAAAAAAACAUCAAGGCAGACCAAAGGGUUUUUUUGGUGUGCAGUAAUGCAGUUUGUAAUGUUUUUCAAAGACAUUUUUUAUAUCUUUUAAUUUUUAACCUUAACACGUCAAAUUAAUUAAAAAUAUUAAAUAAAUAUUUUUAAAAUAAAAAUAAUUUAAAAAACUACUACAACCACGGUAUCAUAGAUAGGCUAACACUACACAUCUUAUAACUGAAAUGGUACCACGUGUAACAUAUGAAUACAGCAAAAGAGAGGAAAAACAUAAAACAUUCUCAUUCUUCCCAGUACAUUAAAUCCCUCAACCAACACAUAGCAUCCAGAUUUCCUCUCUCUACCAAUCCCACUUGCUCACAAAUUGUUAAAAAUAAAACCAUCUGCUCCUUGUUUUUUUUAUUUAUAUAUAAUUCUAAUUGAUUAAAAAAAGUAAAAACGAGGCAUAUAUAAUUUUAUAAUUCCCAUCCGCUUCUAAUGCGAUGAGGAUGCCUGAAAUCAUAGGUCAGCAAUAAGCUUCCAUCCAUUCUCUUCAAGGCAAACCUCUCAACCAAAACAUAGCAACCAAAUCUCCUCCACUUCCCCUUGCCAUCAAAAACCUCUUCUCUCUUCACCCUCACCUCCCUUUCAUCCCCGCUAGCACCCCCUACUCCUUGCACCCACUUCAUUCCCUCCACAAUCUCCAUUCUCAGUCCCACACUUGCUUCUGAUCCUGUCACUCUGUUGAAACUCCUGAACCACGUCACCCCAUCAACAACAUCCCUUUGGUCCGCCACAGCUUCUGUCCCACCAACUGUAACAACUUCACAUUCAACAGCAACAUCCACAGUUACAGUAUUGCCUUCAUUAUACAUAUCUUCACAAGCAAAGAUUUGCUCCCAUUGUUGCUCGAGUGUCAUCUCAUAAUAGGUUGAAUGUUUCAUUUGAUCUUUAAGAGCUGUCCCUUCCUUGAUAAACAUGAAAGGGCAAUACCACUUCCCCGCUACUACAGGCGGGGAACAUUUUUGUGACACUGGGAAGUUGAAGUCCGGGAGGCGGGCGCGGAGAGCUGUGUUAAGGCCUGGUGCUUCAUUUAGCUGGAACUCCUUUGAAGUUGAGGUAUACACUCGCCAGCCCUUUCUCCUCAGGAAAUCUGGAGGAAACCCAUCUGAAGCUACGGAUUUAGCAGCAAAAUCUCCCCGUUUACGGUGUUGAAUCUCAAAUUGCUGAUAAAUGUUUCUUGGGUCCAAAGGUUGCGGUUUUAAAUCAGAUAUACGGGUGCAGAAACAGCAUGUUUUCAUAUCCUCUUCCUUGGAGUUUAUGUAAGCUUCCCUGAAAGCCAAUAUGAGUGUGGAUUUAUUAAGAAUUGGCUAAUUAAAACGAGCGAGAAAAAAAAAAGGAAAUGUUUGCGCCCAUUUUCUUAAUCCAGAAACGCAGCGGUGAUUCAUAUGUUAGGUUCCCAGCUGACGCAAUCUUUCCAUGUUGUUUGAGAUCUUGAAUUGAUUUCAAAGAUAUAGAGGAUAUGGGAAAAAAAAAAAGCAAAAGAAAAACAAAACAAGGUGAAGUUGGAGGUAGAGCACACACAUACCCUUUAUGCUUCCCUUUUCUCUCAACCACGUAGUAUUGAUUGGAAGAUAAUGGCUGAUUGAGAACAGGAGUGAAAAGAACACGGUUCGUAUGAACGUGUUGAUUCUCCCCAGUUUGCUGCGUAUACGUAACCAUCAAGUUCUUGUUUUGAGGAAAAGGCAGGCCCCAGCUUACUCGAUCACUCUUGAACAAUCCACAACAGAAGGUAGGCACUGCAACUUCUUCAUCCUGGAUUACCAAUACACCAGAAUUUGGACCCUCGGGAGGCGGUGAUGAAAGAGCUGAAGGAUCUCUUAGAUACAUCGAAAGAGGCCUUGUCACAUACAUUUCCUCUCAAACUUUUCUCUGCGUAUAGUGACCAAGCAAAAAUUCUUUAUCUUAUCCUUAAUUUCAAAUGUUGUUUUAGGAGUCAAAUCAUAAUUUGUCAAACUAUGGAGAAUUAAAAUGUAAUUUUUAUAUAUCAGGACCAAACUGAAAUUUUAUAAUUUUCAACCGUGAAACUACUUUAUCUAGAAUUUCUAGCAAAGAUUGUUCCAAAUUUCUUAGCCAUUCUUGCCCAUGACACAUCAAAGAAACAAAUCAACCUCAUGUUAUUAUCCCUAACAAAAUCAUUCAAAAUCAAUUAAUUUCAACAUUAACCCAUAUUAAUCAUCAAUUAUUGAAACUUAAAAACAUAAAUUUCAAAUAUUUAGAAACAUUAACACGUUAAAAAAAAAAAUGUAAUGAGCAACAAAAACAAAAAUCAUGUAUAUCAAAUUACGAUCUCAACACAAAAACGUAAUUUAUCCAUCACUCAUGAUCCUUUUUUUCUUUUCCUUCCUCCUCUUUUUCUUUUGGUUUUCUCCGUUUCUGGUUUCUUCUUCUUUUUUCUUUUUUUAUCUCUCUCUAUAUAUCAAUCUAUGUGAAACGACUGACGUGUCCCCAACCAUUACCAACCACAUAAGGUUGUUCAAAUCGCGAUUUUAACACGGCACGGAAAAUACAAAACAAACUCGGAUCGUAAAAACAGAUCGUAAAAUCGUAAGGAAUUUUAAAAUAUAUUAACAAAAAAUUCAUGAUUCAAAUAAAAAUUCAUACAUAUACUAUACAAUUAAUUUUUUCGUAAAAUCAUUCUAUCAUUCCAUUAAUAAAAUCAAUUUCAUCAUUCCAUCAUAUACUAAAAUAGCAUCUUAAAACCAUUCCAUCAUUCCACAAUGCCAUACAGACACAACUAAUUCAAUCCAAUCCAAUCCAAUAGUCCACAGUAUACUGUUCCAUCAAUUCCAUUUAAUUCAUUCCAUCAAUUCAAGGGACAGAAAAACAUUAUAAAUGGACAAAUUACAGGACCGGCAAAAUCAUUCCAUCAAAAAUGUAUAAACGCCUGAAGCAGAAAAAUUAUUUGAUUAACAAUUGUAGCUAUGAAUUCCAGCAAGGUUCAUACAACAUCUACUCUCCAUUAUGCUAAACUUCUCAAGAAAAGAAAAUUAUGACUAUAUAUGAAGGGUUAGCACUACAACUCAAAGAAUCUUGUAGAUAAAAGAAGAUGGAAAGCCUAAAGAAUGAACGAGCAGUACAAAUAAAAAAGUAUAUUAGUACUUGAUAUCAGGAUUUUAGACUAAUAAUUUGUCAUGAUCUACAUAAGUUUGCAGUAACAGUUUCUUCUAGGGAGAAGAAUCUGAUAGCCUGUCACAAAGACAUUUGCAAUGUAUCAUCAAGCAUUCCCCAGUUCUUUUGUCGUCACAGAUUCUUCACAACUUGUCACUGCAUCACUUUUCAUCAAACCGACAGUCCACGUAUCAAAAUUUUGAAUACAUCCUAGGAAACAAAAUUCAUCCCAGAGUUAAGGUCAAUACAAUAGCUAGGCAAAAUGGAACACGUUACAAUCUAACUUUGAUUUUGAUCCAAAUUUUCAUGGAAGUGAACAAAGUGGAAAAUUAAAGAUAAAUGGUUGUACCUUGAUUGCAUUAGUGCUCUCUAGUUCAGUGAUUUUACCAUCUUCUUCAUGAUUUUCAUGUAGUGGCUCUUCGUUUGCAGGCAUUAUAAUUUAUUUUUAUUUUUUUGAUUUACGUGGGUAUCCGGGCCAGCUUGCGCGCACCACGACUAAUUUCACGGCUCGCUGAACAUCCUGCAAACCCAGUGAGCAUGUAAGGCACUGCGGGAGUGACAGGCGUACACGCUGAGGCUUGAACCCAGGAUGCAGAGGUAAGGAAACUCCUUGCCACCGCUGGGCUACAAGCCUCGGUGUCAGGCAUUAUAAUUUCAUUCCACCACUGGUUGAUCUUCGUCAUGUUGUUCCUCAUUUUCUUCAGCCACUAUUAUUAAACACCAAUUCCAAAAUUUUCAUUAUAAUUAGACCCAAUUAUCUUAAAGAACAAUUAAAAUUACACUACAAGAUUUAACAGUUUUACCGAUGAAAUUUUUCCGUCGGCGUAAUUAAGACACAUAUUCCAUCGGUAAUUAAUUUACCGACGAAAUCACCGACGAAAAUUCUCCGUCGGUGAAUUUUUGUCCGUCGGUAAAUCCGUUGGUAAUAAAAAAAAUAUUAUUACCGAUGGAUUUACUGGCGGAAUAGACGCGUCAGUAAAAAUAUUUUUUUAUUACCGACGGAAAGUUCCGUCGGUAAUUAUUUAAAAACAUUUUAAAAAAAAUUCAUUUUAUAAAAUUAUAAAAUAAUUAAAUUAACAUAAAUCAACAUUGCAUAAUAUAUACUCAAAAUGCUUGGGAAAAAAAAAGAAUAAGAAAAUCAACUCAAACAAAUUUGCAACAAAUAAAUAAAACAAAAGAAUUAAUUCAACUAAAAAAAAUCAUAUGAAAAAAAUGAAGUUCCAAUUGCUAAAAAUUUAAAAAUCCUAUAAAUAAAUCAACUAAAAAUUGAUCUCAUAUGAAAAAAAAAUCUCACAACAACAUUUAUACAAUUAUUAAGAACAAAAUCAAUUAAAAUAAAAAAAAACAAAUAUAGUGAAAAAAUCAUGAAAAAUAAGAAAAAAGAAAAAUCUUACCUUAAUGUACUUGCAAGUGAAGCUAAGGAAUUGUAAAGCAUAUUAAUUAAAAAAAAACUAAGAGGAUAAAAGAAGAAAGAAGAAGAAGACAUACCCGAGCAUGGAGGAAAAGAGAAGGAGAUGAGGAGAGAAAGAAGAAAAAGAAAUAGAUAUUGAUGUUUUUUACAUAUAGUGAAGAAGAAGAAGUAGAAGAAGAAGAAGAAGAAAUAAUGAGUCUGUCUCUUGUGAAAUAAGCGGAUUCAGGUUUUUUAUUGGGGCGCGUUACCGACGGAUUUACCGAGAAUAAUUGAAUAUUAAUAUUUUUUAAUUAUUCCAUUUAAUUUCGUAAAAAGUUUUCAGAAACCGCCAAAAAUUACCGACGAUUUUUCAAUCCGUCGGUGAUUCCGUCUGUAAUAUUUAAAUGAAAAUUUUAAAUCAAUUGAAUUUUUUCAGAAAACCGCCAAAUAACACCGACGAUUUUCAAUCCGUCGGUGAUUUUGUCCGUAAAGAAAACAAUUAACAGUGCAAUUGGAAGUGAACAGUUCUGGAGCUCUCUGGAAAAUACCGACGGAAAUUCCGUCGUAAUUCCCUUUGUAAUUGACAUGAUGAACAAUGUUCACAGUUUACCAACGGAUUUACCAAAUUACCGACGGAAAAUUCGUCGGUAAUUCGUUGGUAAAAAAUGACACGUAUCAUUUUUUUUGCUUUGUUUUAAUUUUUUUUCCCACGGUAAUUCCCUCGGUAUUUCCAUUUGUAUUUAUUGAUUUUCUGGUAGUGUUAACCCAAGAAUCCAAAAAAGUAAAAAAAAAUUAAUAAUAAUAAUAAUAAAAAAAACCACAUAUCUGCUUCUCUAUAAGUAUUUUAGAAAACCAUUUUAAUACUUCGGUGUGAGCUUACAACCAUCAAGCCUUAGACUGUUGAAGCAGUAAAUGGAGGGACAAUGAUUUGUUCUUCUCCACGUAAGGAUUUCAGGUCGACGAUGCAGGGAGUAAAAACCAGAGGCGAAAAAGAAAAAACAAAGCUUGGGAAUAAAUUCUUACCUUAUUCUCGAUAGCAAGCAAAACAAGAGGCACUGAGAGAGUGGAGAGUGAAAAGUGGAGAUUGGGGAUAAUUAGAUUCAGAAUUUCAAAUCUUAAAUAUUUAGCAGACAAUUAGUAAAAAUGGAGAGUAAAGAGUACUGCGAACAGGGAAAGGGAGGGGGUGGGGAAGGGAAAGGGGAAACUGGGGAAGGGGAAAGGGCAACGGGAAAGGGUGGAGGCGCUGCAACUGUUUUAUAUUUCACGUGAAAUCGUGAAAUCGGUUCGUGUUUAAUGUUUUUUCCGAGUUAGACUGAUUUUAUACAAGUUUGACCGGGUUUGACCGAUUUUACUGGUUUUUCAAGUUUUAAAUCCGAUUUUGCACGUUUUAUAUGUUUUGACUCGUAAAAUGGUAUGAUUUUACGAGUUAAAACGUGAUUUUGAUAAUCUUGCAACCACAGCCAUGCACAUAAGGGCAAUACCGUCUGUUUAUCCAAACUUACAUAAGCAUGCAUGAUUAAUAAGAAACUGGUCCCUAGUUAACUUCCAUAAAUGAUGAAGCUUUUCAGACACGAAGAUUCGUGAGAUUUCAUAAACAUUUGAAGACAUGAUGGAGCUCGUUAAUUUCUGGAUAUCAAGUAGCUCAAAAAUUCUGUUCGGGGAGUUGAAACAAAACGGCAAUCUUCCAUGCAAGUCAGAAAAGGUAUAGCGGGUUAACAAAAAAACUGAUGCUUAUAGCUACAUGAACCAAUCAAAACUUUUAAGGAGCAUAAAAGACUGUUCAAUCAUUCUCAGAUUGGCCUCAUAUUCCGACAUCUAUCAUGCAUGUAUAAUGUAUCGAGAGAGACCGAAGAGUUAGUAUUGUCAAUUAAAACCUAUUAUGAGGUUUGAUGCAAGCUUUGUGUCUGUCAAGAGCUUACAUUCAGCAGAACUAGACAUGCUAUUUGUGAAAGAUUGAACCUGCAGAGUUAGCUGUUGGAUAGUUUCCUUUCACUUUGAUUUAUUAUUUUUUUUGUAAGGUCCUUUGGCCUUCAAUUUUUGGAUGUUGCAGAUAAUUUUGUUUUCACAUCAGUCCAAUCACUGAAAAUUGAUUCAUUCCUUGAAAUGAUAAUUCUCAAUUCUCUAUAAAGGAUCUAGUCAUUUCCUCUUCCUUCCUUCCCUUUUCCUUGCCGAAAUCAUGUUUUUGUUAUUAGGCAUGGGAUGUUUCUUAAAGCAUUAUUUAUCCCAUUGUCUCAAUCUUCUCGUGUAUAUAUAGAGAGAUAAGGAAGAUAUCAAUCUGAAAAGUCAAUAGCACAGACAAUUUAGACAAGUAAUAAGAAUCCUACAAGAGGAAAAGUAGAUCAAAAGGUUCUGCAAUGUUGAUACUUGGUCAAACCGGUUGAUUUGUUAUAUUUAGUUUUAAAAAUGUACAAUAUUUGUCGCCAACAGUGCAGCUUUGGAUUUUGGAAUAUUGAUUCUUCCAGCCAAAAAACUAGGUUAUCUUAUUAGCUUAAUCGUUAUCUUAUUAGUGGGGGCAGAGGAAGAAUAUUAUGAUCAUCCGUGCCCAAUCGUUAUCUUAUUAGCUUUGAAAUCCGUGUCAUUGUGCAAUUUUAAUCAAUUUAUUAGCUCAACCUAUAAUUUCAAAAUAGUUUAUUCACUGCAAUCGCUUGAAUUAUAAAAAAAAAAAAAAAAAAAAAAAAACAUCAAGGCAGACCAAAGGGUUUUUUUGGUGUGCAGUAAUGCAGUUUUGUAAUGUUUUUCAAAGACAUUUUUUAUAUCUUUUAAUUUUUAACCUUAACACAUCAAAUUAAUUAAAAAUAUUAAAUAAAUAUUUUUUAAAAUAAAAAUAAUUUAAAAAAACUACUACAACCACGGUAUCAUAGAUAGGCUAACACUACACAUCUUAUAACUGAAAUGGUACCACGUGUAACAUAUGAAUACAGCAAAAGAGAGGAAAAACAUAAAACAUUCUCAUUCUUCCCAGUACAUUAAAUCCCUCAACCAACACAUAGCAUCCAGAUUUCCUCUCUCUACCAAUCCCACUUGCUCACAAAUUGUUAAAAAUAAAACCAUCUGCUCCUUGUUUUUUUUAUUUAUAUAUAAUUCUAAUUGAUUAAAAAAAGUAAAAACGAGGCAUAUAUAUAUUUUAUAAUUCCCAUCCGCUUCUAAUGCGAUGAGGAUGCCUGAAAUCAUAGGUCAGCAAUAAGCUUCCAUCCAUUCUCUUCAAGGCAAACCUCUCAACCAAAACAUAGCAACCAAAUCUCCUCCACUUCCCCUUGCCAUCAAAAACCUCUUCUCUCUUCACCCUCACCUCCCUUUCAUCCCCGCUAGCACCCCCUACUCCUUGCACCCACUUCAUUCCCUCCACAAUCUCCAUUCUCAGUCCCACACUUGCUUCUGAUCCUGUCACUCUGUUGAAACUCCUGAACCACGUCACCCCAUCAACAACAUCCCUUUGGUCCGCCACAGCUUCUGUCCCACCAACUGUAACAACUUCACAUUCAACAGCAACAUCCACAGUUACAGUAUUGCCUUCAUUAUACAUAUCUUCACAAGCAAAGAUUUGCUCCCAUUGUUGCUCGAGUGUCAUCUCAUAAUAGGUUGAAUGUUUCAUUUGAUCUUUAAGAGCUGUCCCUUCCUUGAUAAACAUGAAAGGGCAAUACCACUUCCCCGCUACUACAGGCGGGGAACAUUUUUGUGACACUGGGAAGUUGAAGUCCGGGAGGCGGGCGCGGAGAGCUGUGUUAAGGCCUGGUGCUUCAUUUAGCUGGAACUCCUUUGAAGUUGAGGUAUACACUCGCCAGCCCUUUCUCCUCAGGAAAUCUGGAGGAAACCCAUCUGAAGCUACGGAUUUAGCAGCAAAAUCUCCCCGUUUACGGUGUUGAAUCUCAAAUUGCUGAUAAAUGUUUCUUGGGUCCAAAGGUUGCGGUUUUAAAUCAGAUAUACGGGUGCAGAAACAGCAUGUUUUCAUAUCCUCUUCCUUGGAGUUUAUGUAAGCUUCCCUGAAAGCCAAUAUGAGUGUGGAUUUAUUAAGAAUUGGCUAAUUAAAACGAGCGAGAAAAAAAAAAGGAAAUGUUUGCGCCCAUUUUCUUAAUCCAGAAACGCAGCGGUGAUUCAUAUGUUAGGUUCCCAGCUGACGCAAUCUUCCAUGUUGUUUGAGAUCUUGAAUUGAUUUCAAAGAUAUAGAGGAUAUGGGAAAAAAAAAAAGCAAAAGAAAAACAAAACAAGGUGAAGUUGGAGGUAGAGCACACACAUACCCUUUAUGCUUCCCUUUUCUCUCAACCACGUAGUAUUGAUUGGAAGAUAAUGGUGAUUGAGAACAGGAGUGAAAAGAACACGGUUCGUAUGAACGUGUUGAUUCUCCCCAGUUUGCUGCGUAUACGUAACCAUCAAGUUCUUGUUUUGAGGAAAAGGCAGGCCCCAGCUUACUCGAUCACUCUUGAACAAUCCACAACAGAAGGUAGGCACUGCAACUUCUUCAUCCUGGAUUACCAAUACACCAGAAUUUGGACCCUCGGAGGCGGUGAUGAAAGAGCUGAAGGAUCUCUUAGAUACAUCGAAGAGGCCUUGUCACAUACAUUUCCUCUCAAACUUUUCUCUGCGUAUAGUGACCAAGCAAAAAUUCUUUAUCUUAUCCUUAAUUUCAAAUUUGUUUUAGGAGUCAAAUCAUAAUUUGUCAAACUAUGGAGAAUUAAAAUGUAAUUUUAUAUAUCAGGACCAAACUGAAAUUUUAUAAUUUUCAACCGUGAAACUACUUUAUCUAGAAUUUCUAGCAAAGAUGUUCCAAAUUUCUUAGCCAUUCUUGCCCAUGACACAUCAAAGAAACAAAUCAACCUCAUGUUAUUAUCCCUAACAAAAUCAUUCAAAAUCAAUUAAUUCAACAUUAACCCAUAUUAAUCAUCAAUUAUUGAAACUUAAAACAUAAAUUUCAAAUAUUUAGAAACAUUAACACGUUAAAAAAAAAAUGUAAUGAGCAACAAAAACAAAAAUCAUGUAUAUCAAAUUACGAUCUCAACACAAAAACGUAAUUUAUCCAUCACCUCAUGAUCCUUUUUUCUUUUCCUUCCUCCUCUUUUUCUUUUGGUUUUCUCCGUUUCUGGUUUCUUCUUCUUUUUUCUUUUUUAUCUCUCUCUAUAUAUCAAUCUAUGUGAAACGACUGACGUGUCCCCAACCAUUACCAACCACAUAAGUUGUUCAAAUCGCGAUUUAACACGGCACGGAAAAUACAAAACAAACUCGGAUCGUAAAAACAGAUCGUAAAAUCGUAAGGAAUUUUAAAAUAUAUUAACAAAAAAUUCAUGAUUCAAAUAAAAAUUCAUACAUAUACUAUACAAUUAAUUUUUUCGUAAAAUCAUUCUAUCAUUCCAUUAAUAAAAUCAAUUUCAUCAUUCCAUCAUAUACUAAAAUAGCAUCUUAAAACCAUUCCAUCAUUCCACAAUGCCAUACAGACACAACUAAUUCAAUCCAAUCCAAUCCAAUAGUCCACAGUAUACUGUUCCAUCAAUUCCAUUUAAUUCAUUCCAUCAAUUCAAGGGACAGAAAAACAUUAUAAAUGGACAAAUUACAGGACCGGCAAAAUCAUUCCAUCAAAAAUGUAUAAACGCCUGAAGCAGAAAAAUUAUUUGAUUAACAAUUGUAGCUAUGAAUUCCAGCAAGGUUCAUACAACAUCUACUCUCCAUUAUGCUAAACUUCUCAAGAAAAGAAAAUUAUGACUAUAUAUGAAGGGUUAGCACUACAACUCAAAGAAUCUUGUAGAUAAAAGAAGAUGGAAAGCCUAAAGAAUGAACGAGCAGUACAAAUAAAAAAGUAUAUUAGUACUUGAUAUCAGGAUUUUAGACUAAUAAUUUGUCAUGAUCUACAUAAGUUUGCAGUAACAGUUUCUUCUAGGGAGAAGAAUCUGAUAGCCUGUCACAAAGACAUUUGCAAUGUAUCAUCAAGCAUUCCCCAGUUCUUUUGUCGUCACAGAUUCUUCACAACUUGUCACUGCAUCACUUUUCAUCAAACCGACAGUCCACGUAUCAAAAUUUUGAAUACAUCCUAGGAAACAAAAUUCAUCCCAGAGUUAAGGUCAAUACAAUAGCUAGGCAAAAUGGAACACGUUACAAUCUAACUUUGAUUUUGAUCCAAAUUUUCAUGGAAGUGAACAAAGUGGAAAAUUAAAGAUAAAUGGUUGUACCUUGAUUGCAUUAGUGCUCUCUAGUUCAGUGAUUUUACCAUCUUCUUCAUGAUUUUCAUGUAGUGGCUCUUCGUUUGCAGGCAUUAUAAUUUAUUUUUAUUUUUUUGAUUUACGUGGGUAUCCGGGCCAGCUUGCGCGCACCACGACUAAUUUCACGGCUCGCUGAACAUCCUGCAAACCCAGUGAGCAUGUAAGGCACUGCGGGAGUGACAGGCGUACACGCUGAGGCUUGAACCCAGGAUGCAGAGGUAAGGAAACUCCUUGCCACCGCUGGGCUACAAGCCUCGGUGUCAGGCAUUAUAAUUUCAUUCCACCACUGGUUGAUCUUCGUCAUGUUGUUCCUCAUUUUCUUCAGCCACUAUUAUUAAACACCAAUUCCAAAAUUUUCAUUAUAAUUAGACCCAAUUAUCUUAAAGAACAAUUAAAAUUACACUACAAGAUUUAACAGUUUUACCGAUGAAAUUUUUCCGUCGGCGUAAGACACAUAUUCCAUCGGUAAUUAAUUUACCGACGAAAUCACCGACGAAAUUCUCCGUCGGUGAAUUUUUGUCCGUCGGUAAUCCGUUGGUAAUAAAAAAAUAUAUUACCGAUGGAUUUACUGGCGGAAGACGCGUCGGUAAAAAUAUUUUUUUAUUACCGACGGAAAUUCCGUCGGUAAUUAUUUAAAAACAUUUUAAAAAAAUUCAUUUUAUAAAAUUAUAAAAUAUAAAUUAACAUAAAUCAACAUUGUAUAAUAUAUACUCAAAAUGCUUGGAAAAAAGAAUAAGAAAAUCAACUCAAACAAAUUUGCAACAAAUAAAUAAAACAAAAAUUAAUUCAACUAAAAAAAUUCAUAUGAAAAAAAUGAAGUUGCAAUUGCUAAAAAUUUAAAAAUCCUAUAAAUAAAUCAACUAAAAAUUGAUCUCAUAUGAAAAAAAAAUCUCACAACAACAUUUAUACAAUUAUUAAGAACAAAAUCAAUUAAAAAUAAAUAAAAAACAAAUAUAGUGAAAAAAUCAUGAAAAAAUAAGAAAAAAGAAAAAUCUUACCUUAAUGUACUUGCAAGUGAAGCUAAGGAAAAAAAUUUGUAAAGCAUAUUAAUUAAAAAAAACUAAGAGGAUAAAAGAAGAAAGAAGAAGAAGACAUACCCGAGCAUGGAGGAAAAGAGAAGGAGAUGAGGAGAGAAAAGAAGAAAAAAUAAUAUUGAUGUUUUUUACAUAUAGUGAAGAAGAAGAAGUAGAAGAAGAAGAAGAAGAAAUAAUGAGUCUGUCUCUUGUGAAAUAAGCGGAUUCAGGUUUUUUAUUGGGGCGCGUUACCGACGGAUUUACCGAAUAAUUGAAUAUUAAUAUUUUUUUAAUUAUUCCAUCUGUAAUUUCGUAAAAAGUUUUCAGAAACCGCCAAAAAUUACCGACGAUUUUUCAAUCCGUCGGUGAUUCCGUCUGUAAUAUUUAAAUGAAAAUUUUAAAUCAAUUGAAUUUUUUCAGAAAACCGCCAAAUAACACCCAGAUUUUCAAUCCGUCGGUGAUUUUGUCCGUAAAGAACAACAAUUAACAGUGCAAUUGGAAGGUGAACAGUUCUGGAGCUCUCUGGAAAAUACCGACGAAAAUUCCGUCGGUAAUUCCCUUUGUAAUUGACAUGAUGAACAUGUUCACAGUUUACCAACGGAUUUACCAAAUUACCGACGGAAAAUUUCGUCGGUAAUUCUGUUGGUAAAAAAUGACACGUUAUCAUUUUUUUUGCUUUGUUUUAAUUUUUUUUCCCACGGUAAUUCCCUCGGUAUUUCCAUUUGUAUUUAUUGAUUUUCUGGUAGUGUUAACCCAAGAAUCCAAAAAAGUAAAAAAAAAUUAAUAAUAAUAAUAAAUAAAAAAACCACAUAUCUGCUUCUCUAUAAGUAUUUUAGAAAACCAUUUUAAUACUUCGGUGUGAGCUUACAACCAUCAAGCCUUAGACUGUUGAAGCAGUAAAUGGAGGGACAAUGAUUUGUUCUUCUCCACGUAAGGAUUUCAGGUCGACGAUGCAGGGAGUAAAACCAGAGGCGAAAAAGAAAAAACAAAGCUUGGGAAUAAAUUCUUACCUUAUUCUCGAUAGCAAGCAAAACAAGAGGCACUGAGAGAGUGGAGAGUGAAAAGUGGAGAUUGGGGAUAAUUAGAUUCAGAAUUUCAAAUCUUAAAUAUUUAGCAGACAAUUAGUAAAAAUGGAGAGUAAAGAGUACUGCGAACAGGGAAAGGGAGGGGUGGGGAAGGGAAAGGGGAAACUGGGGAAGGGGAAAGGGCAACGGGAAAGGGUGGAGGCGCUGCAACUGUUUUAUAUUUCACGUGAAAUCGUGAAAUCGGUUCGUGUUUAAUGUUUUUUCCGAGUUAGACUGAUUUUAUACAAGUUUGACCGGGUUUGACCGAUUUUACUGGUUUUCAAGUUUUAAAUCCGAUUUUGCACGUUUUAUAUGUUUUGACUCGUAAAAUGGUAUGAUUUUACGAGUUAAAACGUGAUUUUGAUAAUCUUGCAACCACAGCCAUGCACAUAAGGGCAAUACCGUCUGUUUAUCCAAACUUACAUAAGCAUGCAUGAUUAAUAAGAAACUGGUCCCUAGUUAACUUCCAUAAAUGAUGAAGCUUUUCAGACACGAAGAUUCGUGAGAUUUUCAUAAACAUUUGAAGACAUGAUGGAGCUCGUUAAUUUCUGGAUAUCAAGUAGCUCAAAAAUUCUGUUCGGGGAGUUGAAACAAAACGGCAAUCUUCCAUGCAAGUCAGAAAAGGUAUAGCGGGUUAACAAAAAAACUGAUGCUUAUAGCUACAUGAACCAAUCAAAACUUUUAAGGAGCAUAAAAGACUGUUCAAUCAUUCUCAGAUUGGCCUCAUAUUCCGACAUCUAUCAUGCAUGUAUAAUGUAUCGAGAGAGACCGAAGAGUUAGUAUUGUCAAUUAAAACCUAUUAUGAGGUUUGAUGCAAGCUUUGUGUCUGUCAAGAGCUUACAUUCAGCAGAACUAGACAUGCUAUUUGUGAAAGAUUGAACCUGCAGAGUUAGCUGUUGGAUAGUUUCCUUUCACUGUUUGAUUUAUUAUUUUUUUGUAAGGUCCUUUGGCCUUCAAUUUUUGGAUGUUGCAGAUAAUUUUGUUUUCACAUCAGUCCAAUCACUGAAAAUUGAUUCAUUCCUUGAAAUGAUAAUUCUCAAUUCUCUAUAAAGGAUCUAGUCCAUUUCCUCUUCCUUCCUUCCCUUUUCCUUGCCGAAAUCAUGUUUUUGUUAUUAGGCAUGGGAUGUUUCUUAAAGCAUUAUUUAUCCCAUUGUCUCAAUCUUCUCGUGUAUAUAUAGAGAGAUAAGGAAGAUAUCAAUCUGAAAAGUCAAUAGCACAGACAAUUUAGACAAGUAAUAAGAAUCCUACAAGAGGAAAAGUAGAUCAAAAGGUUCUGCAAUGUUGAUACUUGGUCAAACCGGUUGAUUUGUUAUAUUUAGUUUUAAAAAUGUACAAUAUUUGUCGCCAACAGUGCAGCUUUGGAUUUUGGAAUAUUGAUUCUUCCAGCCAAAAAUACUAGGUUAUCUUAUUAGCUUAAUCGUUAUCUUAUUAGUGGGGGCAGAGGAAGAAUAUUUAUGAUCAUCCGUGCCCAAUCGUUAUCUUAUUAGCUUUGAAAUCCGUGUCAUUGUGCAAUUUUAAUCAAUUUAUUAGCUCAACCUAUAAUUUCAAAAUAGUUUAUUCACUGCAAUCGCUUGAAUUUAUAAAAAAAAAAAAAAAAAAAAAAACAUCAAGGCAGACCAAAGGGUUUUUUUGGUGUGCAGUAAUGCAGUUUGUAAUGUUUUUCAAAGACAUUUUUUAUAUCUUUUAAUUUUUAACCUUAACACAUCAAAUUAAUUAAAAAUAUUAAAUAAAUAUUUUUAAAAUAAAAAUAAUUUAAAAAACUACUACAACCACGGUAUCAUAGAUAGGCUAACACUACACAUCUUAUAACUGAAAUGGUACCACGUGUAACAUAUGAAUACAGCAAAAGAGAGGAAAAACAUAAAACAUUCUCAUUCUUCCCAGUACAUUAAAUCCCUCAACCAACACAUAGCAUCCAGAUUUCCUCUCUCUACCAAUCCCACUUGCUCACAAAUUGUUAAAAAUAAAACCAUCUGCUCCUUGUUUUUUUUAUUUAUAUAUAAUUCUAAUUGAUUAAAAAAAGUAAAAACGAGGCAUAUAUAAUUUUAAUAAUUCCCAUCCGCUUCUAAUGCGAUGAGGAUGCCUGAAAUCAUAGGUCAGCAAUAAGCUUCCAUCCAUUCUCUUCAAGGCAAACCUCUCAACCAAAAUAGCAACCAAAUCUCCUCCACUUCCCCUUGCCAUCAAAAACCUCUUCUCUCUUCACCCUCACCUCCCUUUCAUCCCCGCUAGCACCCCCUACUCCUUGCACCCACUUCAUUCCCUCCACAAUCUCCAUUCUCAGUCCCACACUUGCUUCUGAUCCUGUCACUCUGUUGAAACUCCUGAACCACGUCACCCCAUCAACAACAUCCCUUUGGUCCGCCACAGCUUCUGUCCCACCAACUGUAACAACUUCACAUUCAACAGCAACAUCCACAGUUACAGUAUUGCCUUCAUUAUACAUAUCUUCACAAGCAAAGAUUUGCUCCCAUUGUUGCUCGAGUGUCAUCUCAUAAUAGGUUGAAUGUUUCAUUUGAUCUUUAAGAGCUGUCCCUUCCUUGAUAAACAUGAAAGGGCAAUACCACUUCCCCGCUACUACUACAGGCGGGGAACAUUUUUGUGACACUGGGAAGUUGAAGUCCGGGAGGCGGGCGCGGAGAGCUGUGUUAAGGCCUGGUGCUUCAUUUAGCUGGAACUCCUUUGAAGUUGAGGUAUACACUCGCCAGCCCUUUCUCCUCAGGAAAUCUGGAGGAAACCCAUCUGAAGCUACGGAUUUAGCAGCAAAAUCUCCCCGUUUACGGUGUUGAAUCUCAAAUUGCUGAUAAAUGUUUCUUGGGUCCAAAGGUUGCGGUUUUAAAUCAGAUAUACGGGUGCAGAAACAGCAUGUUUUCAUAUCCUCUUCCUUGGAGUUUAUGUAAGCUUCCCUGAAAGCCAAUAUGAGUGUGGAUUUAUUAAGAAUUGGCUAAUUAAAACGAGCGAGAAAAAAAAAAGGAAAUGUUUGCGCCCAUUUUCUUAAUCCAGAAACGCAGCGGUGAUUCAUAUGUUAGGUUCCCAGCUGACGCAAUCUUUCCAUGUUGUUUGAGAUCUUGAAUUGAUUUCAAAGAUAUAGAGGAUAUGGGAAAAAAAAAAAGCAAAAGAAAAACAAAACAAGGUGAAGUUGGAGGUAGAGCACACAC